RNAcentral lists this long non-coding RNA (349 nucleotides) under Hordeum vulgare. RNAcentral's name for it is "long non-coding RNA (HVUL_LNC003821)". Lineage: Eukaryota; Viridiplantae; Streptophyta; Magnoliopsida; Poales; Poaceae. The record is from RNAcentral.
GACGGCGGGGCCUGAGAAGACGACGGCGACGUCCGGCGAGGUGGCGGCGGAUCUGGGCGGCGUCUGGCGAGGCAGCGGCAGAUCUGGGAGGCGCGGCGUGGCUGCGCAGGAGGUGCGGCUCGUUGGAGAGGAAGGAGAGGUGGAGCUGUUGUGCUGCGCGGCAGAGGAAGAAGGAGAGGUGGAGCUGCUGUGCUGCGCGGCAGGAGGAGGAAGCUGAGGAGCGGCUUGGUCUCCAACGGUCUGUGGUGCUGCGGGAGGAGAAGAGGAGAAGGGUAGUGGAGAAGGGCAGCUCCUUGUUGUGCUGCUGUGUGUGCGUGUGUCUGCAGGGGACCGGGAGCUGGAGAACUGC